This 443-nucleotide ribosomal RNA is filed under the name uncultured bacterium. Its description in RNAcentral is "partial 16S ribosomal RNA". It matches the Rfam family "Bacterial small subunit ribosomal RNA", at positions 28 to 507 of the family's 1533-position model. The record is from RNAcentral.
GAUGAACGCUGGCGGCAUGCCUAACACAUGCCAGUCGAUCGGUAAGGCUCUUCGGGGUACACGAGAGGCGGACGGCUGAGUAACGCGUAGGAACACACCCUGCAGUGAGGGAUAAGACACCGAAAGGUGUUCUAAUACCGCAUACGGUCUUCGGAUUAAAGCAUUUAUGCGCUGAAGGAGUGGCCUGCGUCAUAUUAGAUAGUUGGUGAGGUAAUGGCUCACCAAGUCGAUGAUGUGUAGCUGGUCUGAGAGGAUGAUCAGCCAGACUGGAACUGAGACACGGUCCAGACUCCUACGGGAGGCAGCAGUGAGGAAUAUUUCACAAUGAGCGAAAGCUUGAUGGAGCAAUGCCGCGUGCAGGAUGAAGGCCCUCGGGUUGUAAACUGCUUUUAUAAGAGAAGAUUAUGACGGUAACUUAUGAAUAAGGGACGGCUAACUACGUG